Molecule: ribosomal RNA, 453 nt
Filed under: uncultured soil bacterium
Lineage: Bacteria
Description: bacterial SSU rRNA
Rfam family: Bacterial small subunit ribosomal RNA
Source: RNAcentral
AGAUUGAACGCUGGCGGCAUGCCUUACACAUGCAAGUCGAACGGUAGAGUAGCAAUACUUGAGAGUGGCGAACGGGUGAGUAAUAUAUCGGAACGUGCCCAGUCGUGGGGGAUAACGUAGAGAAAUUUACGCUAAUACCGCAUACGAUCUAAGGAUGAAAGCGGGGGACCGUAAGGCCUCGCGCGAUUGGAGCGGCUGAUAUCAGAUUAGGUUGUUGGUGAGGUAAAAGCUCACCGAAGCCGACGAUCUGUAGCUGGUUUGAGAGAACGACCAGCCACACUGGGACUGAGACACGGCCCAGACUCCUACGGGAGGCAGCAGUGGGGAAUUUGGACAAGUGGGCAAAGCCUGGAUCCAGCAAUGCCGCGUGCAACGGAAGAACGGCCUUGGGUUAGUAAACUGUACUUUUGUAACGAACGAACGGUUACUACGUACUUUAAAUACCGAGUAGGU